GAAUAUUCAUGGCUAAGCUUGAACUGCCAGUGGUCUUGUGAUCCGUUGAGAAAUUUUGGAUCGAAUCACAGCCAACUGGUGGCUCAGCUUGCUGUGUGCUGCACUUUU
Brugia malayi is the source of this 108-nucleotide non-coding RNA. Lineage: Eukaryota; Metazoa; Nematoda; Chromadorea; Rhabditida; Onchocercidae. The record is from RefSeq and is a predicted model, not a curated record.